This 253-nucleotide ribosomal RNA is filed under the name uncultured bacterium. Its description in RNAcentral is "partial 16S ribosomal RNA". It matches the Rfam family "Bacterial small subunit ribosomal RNA", at positions 524 to 776 of the family's 1533-position model. The record is from RNAcentral.
UACGAAGGGGGCUAGCGUUGUUCGGAAUUACUGGGCGUAAAGCGCACGUAGGCGGACUACUAAGUCAGGGGUGAAAUCCCGGGGCUCAACCCCGGAACUGCCUUUGAUACUGGUAGUCUCGAGUCCGGAAGAGGUGAGUGGAAUUCCGAGUGUAGAGGUGAAAUUCGUAGAUAUUCGGAGGAACACCGGUGGCGAAGGCGGGCCUCUGGGCCGAUACUGACGCUGAGGAGCGAAAGCGUGGGGAGCGAACAGG